Molecule: ribosomal RNA, 253 nt
Filed under: uncultured bacterium
Lineage: Bacteria
Description: partial 16S ribosomal RNA
Rfam family: Bacterial small subunit ribosomal RNA
Source: RNAcentral
UACAGAGGUCCCAAGCGUUGUUCGGAUUCACUGGGCGUAAAGGGUGCGUAGGCGGUCGGGUAAGUCUGACGUGAAAUCUCCGAGCCUAACUCGGAAACUGCGUCGGAUACUAUUCGGCUAGAGGAAUGGAGGGGAGACUGGAAUUCUCGGUGUAGCAGUGAAAUGCGUAGAUAUCUGGAGGAACACCGGUGGCGAAGGCGGCAUCCUGGACCGGCAUUGACGCUGAGGAGCGAAAGCCAGGGGAGCAAACGGG